GUGAGUCAUCGAAUCUUUGAACGCACAUUGCGCCCGUUGGUAUUCCGACGGGCACGUCUGUUUGAGCGUCAUCUCAACCCUUCGGCUGACGGCUUGCCGUCUCCGGUCCUGAGCCUGGCCGGGUGUCCAUCACCCGCCGGCUUUAAAGUUGCGCGCUCCGCGGGCCUGUGACCCAACGAAACAUAGUAGAAUCUUUUGCUGUUUCCGUUGCCAGCCGGUUCCGCCUGAACAUAACCAUUCAUAAGGUUUGACCUCAGAUCAGACGAGGAUACCCGCUGAACUUAAGCAUAUCAAUAAGCG
Molecule: unclassified non-coding RNA, 300 nt
Filed under: uncultured Orbiliaceae
Lineage: Eukaryota; Fungi; Ascomycota; Orbiliomycetes; Orbiliales
Description: sequence contains 5.8S rRNA gene, ITS2
Rfam family: 5.8S ribosomal RNA (bases 1-71)
Source: RNAcentral